UUUACAUAUUUUUAGCUCAUCAAUCUUCUGACGGUCACUUACUAAUGCCACUGAGAAUCAGCAUAUCGGCUCUGCUCUURGCUCUGACAAUAAUCUAAUUUGCGCUCGUGUACUACAUCAAGAAAAAGGAACCCCAAUAUCAGCCUCAGCUUCAGAUGGUCCAGAUGGUUGAGCCUAACGACAACGACCUGUACGGAGCAGAAAGAAGUUCCUGGAGAAGAAAAAUUCCCCAACACUCAAAAAAAUGAACUUAGGGGGUUAUUAUAUUAACAAAAGAAUAUAUCCUUUUAACACAAUAAUUUCAUGUUUCAAACGAAAACGUGAUAAAAUCAUGUUUGAUAAACAAAUCUAAUCAUGUUGACAUAACAUGAUUCAUUAUAGUCAGACUCAUCUUGUGCAGAAGACGACGAGCGAGAUCACGGGAGAUCACGCGAGAUUAUGGGAAUUCACAUCGGGCCACGCGGGAGAAUCUUUUUGCGUGCCCGGGAAAACUCCAGCGGCAGUUAUGAGAAGACAAAAUUUUCCUGGCAGCGUUGUGCAUAUACAUAUCCACAGUGUUAUAUGUUAGAUCACGUUUCUAUGUAAUUGAUGUCCUCAAGUCAGUGGCUAACAUGUGUUAACAUCACAUGAAGUGAUCGUUAGCUGGCUAUUAAUCAGCGUUUCUCUAACAUUUGCACCGUUUCCUGCUUGCUCCAUGCUUGUGUCAAAAUAUUGAAUUAAGGUGGUCAUUGCAUUUAUAAAAAAAAAUAACAUGUUUUAACAAAAUUAUUUUAUGUUUCAAAGGCAAAUGUGAUAAAAUCACGUCAAAUAAAAAUAACAUUCAACAACCUCGCGUUAAUAAAAUCUAUUCAAAUUGAGACAACUUGAUUCAGUCAGACUGAUCUCACGCCGAAGAGGGUCUGUCGAAACCAGGAGAUCACGCGAGAUGACGGAAGAUCACGCGAGAUAACUGUCUUACACCUGAGAAAACUUCAGUGUUUUUUCAAGAGAAGCCGAAGAUUCCUGGUGUGCAUCGGCUUAAUUUGAAAAAACGUAAGAUUCAAUCUAUUUUCAGCCGUCUAAAACAAAAUAAAAAGAUGUAAAUUAAAAUCAUCAGACUUUUAAAAAAACAUUUUUGCUAUGUUUGAUCAGGUUUAUAUGUAAUUGUUUACUGACUCAAGUCAGUGGCUAACAUGUGCUAACAUCACAUGAAGUGAUGGUUAGCUGGCAAUUAAUCAGGAUUAAAAGUGUUGGUAGUAAAACACUUUUACAACACGAACGGUGAUUUUAGAAAGGAUUUCAAUUUCAGCAAAAAUGAUUCUGACUAUUGGUUGGGGCCUUGGUUAUCUGGCCACAAAGGGUCUUGAAAAAUUACUUGGAAAUAGUAUUGCACAAGAAGAAGAUGACACCGACACAGAGAGGUCAUCUGACGAGAGUUUUGAGAAUGGCUUUGAUGAAGAAUCCGAAGAGUACAAGAGGUGGAAAUACUUUGAUUUUGAGGAACUUAUUCCUCAAGAACUUGAGGAAGAACCGGUUUCUGAAGAGAAAAACAGCAUGGACACUACCUCAGAAGUUGCCAGUACCACUUCAGGUGUCUUGACUGAUUUGACAGUAAUGACUCCUGAAUAUACUGUUGCUUUGAAUAGCAACAGUUUUUUUGAUCAUGUUUUGGAGCUCCUCUAGGAAACUGACUCUGGGGAUAGUGGAAGUCUUGAUAUUUCCCUGGAACAAAGGGAUCUGGCUGUUGACGCGAGCUGUGACAGCAAGCAAAAUAAUGCAGAUCAUUUUUCUGGCAUGGACGCUGAAGAUAACGUUUCAAGGAAGAAAGUCCAUUUUGAAAACUCGCAUGCUGAGAAUGUUGUGGAACAUUUGGAAGUCUUUUCUGAGCGUUUUCUUCCAAAAAUAUGGUCUUCUGAAGAAGAAUACGCAGAAGACAACAUUGAGUUCUCAGAGAAUUUUGACAGGAGGGAUUUUUCCAGUCAGUCUCUGAGCAUAACUCCUCCGACAUAUUCGUCCUAUUUUCAUAAAGUUUCUGUGUGUUCUACUUCAGUAGAAACUUUUUCGGAAGAAUGCUCAAAAUGUGACGUUCAAACUGAGCCACAACAUUGUGACGGCAUGACUGGAUAUUUCUUUCAUGGAAGUUCAUUCUGACAGCAGAAAUGCCAGAAAAGUGAGGUCACAAGUUUCCAAGUGGUUUCGCCAGCUAGGGAAUAGGUUGGCUAACCUCCGACCAAGGAGAAAGAACUAACUAUUCUCUUUCAUGGCGAAGAAAAGUUUGAGAAGCUCAUCAAUGACCUGAUUUCACCUCUAGAAGAGCUUCAAACACAUUUCGGAGAAAGUGGAUGGAACAUGGCCCGCACAGAGUCGUUCCCCAACUCCAUUGUCAAUGCGGCUUAUCGGAGUUAUGGCCACAAGGUUUCCAGUGCCUGUUUUGGUGUGCUUCAAGGGUGGACUAUGACUAUGGACUAUGCUGGAGAGUGUCCCUCCUAGAGACUUCUUUGUUCUGCUGGGGGAUUUCAACGCUCACACAAGCAAUUACAGUGAGACCUGGAGGCUUGUGGUUGAGAGGAUUGGCCACCCUGAUCUAAACUUGAGUAGUUUACUGUUAUUGGACUUUGGGCUCAUCAUGGAUUGUACACCUUGUCCAAGCAUAAGUGUUAUAAAUUCAAGUACUUCAAUGACUCAAGUCUAUGCUUUUAUUUUGAAGUGGUUCCUUUUAUUGGAAGGAGGUUUGUUCCAUUUAUUUCUUCUUGACGUUCAGUUGAUCUGUUUGCUGUUUACUGUUGAGACUGGUGCCACAGUCAUUGAUGAUGUAAGUUGUGGUGUUAGUCAUGUGUCAUGAAUGGGUAGAUGUUGGUUGUCACUUCUGACAACACUUCUUGGUUACAAGUGUGUUUCUAUAGUUUUUGAAAGUCUGUUUUGCUCUUAAUGGUUGUGAUUUAGUGUUGAAACUAUCUUUGUAUUUGGCUGUUGGUCUUGAGAUUUGGGCAGUUGGAAAUAGAUUGAUUCCUCUGCUAUUCUGCAUCAUUAAAAUUUAAACAGUGCAUUAGAAAGGGAAUUAAUGCUGAUAUUUAAGGUUUAUUUGCUCACUGAUGUUAAUUUUAAAUGGUAAUUUGAAUCUGUAUUAUUGUAUUUUCAGAAACUGCUUCAAUUUAUUUGCACCGCCCUGUUAGUAAUUCUUCAGUAAACCAUUUAAACACCCUGA
Poecilia reticulata (guppy) is the source of this 3184-nucleotide non-coding RNA. Lineage: Eukaryota; Metazoa; Chordata; Actinopteri; Cyprinodontiformes; Poeciliidae. The record is from RefSeq and is a predicted model, not a curated record.